GACGAACGCUGGCGGCGUGCUCAACACAUGCAAGUCGAACGAAGAGCGAUGGAAGCUUGCUUCUCUCAAUCUUAGUGGCGAACGGGUGAGUAACGCGUAAUCAACCUGCCCUUCAGAGGGGGACAACAGUUGGAAACGACUGCUAAUACCGCAUACGAUCUAAUCUCGGCAUCGAGGAUAGAUGAAAGGUGGCCUCUACAUGUAAGCUAUCACUGAAGGAGGGGAUUGCGUCUGAUUAGCUAGUUGGAGGGGUAACGGCCCACCAAGGCGAUGAUCAGUAGCCGGUCUGAGAGGAUGAACGGCCACAUUGGGACUGAGACACGGCCCAGACUCCUACGGGAGGCAGCAGUGGGGAAUCUUCCGCAAUGGACGAAAGUCUGACGGAGCAACGCCGCGUGAGUGAUGACGGCCUUCGGGUUGUAAAGCUCUGUUAAUCGGGACGAAAGGCCUUCUUGCGAAUAGUGAGAAGGAUUGACGGUACCGGAAUAGAAAGCCACGGCUAACUACGUG
Molecule: ribosomal RNA, 510 nt
Filed under: uncultured bacterium
Lineage: Bacteria
Description: partial 16S ribosomal RNA
Rfam family: Bacterial small subunit ribosomal RNA
Source: RNAcentral